CUGUUCGAGCGUCAUUACAACCCUCAAGCUUUGCUUGGUAUUGGGCAUUGCCGGUUUCUGGCAGGCCUUAAAAUCAGUGGCGGUGCAUUCGGCUUCAAGCGUAGUAAUUUUUCUCGCUUUGGAGACCCGUCUGGUUACUAGCAACAACCCCAAUUUUUCAGGUUGACCUCGGAUCAGGUAGGGAUACCCGCUGAACUUAG
This 200-nucleotide unclassified non-coding RNA is filed under the name soil metagenome. Its description in RNAcentral is "partial contains internal transcribed spacer 2 and large subunit ribosomal RNA". The record is from RNAcentral.